GAGUUUGAUCGUGGCUCAGAACGAACGCUGGCGGCAGGCCUAACACAUGCAAGUCGAGCGCCCCGCAAGGGGAGCGGCGGACGGGUGAGUAACGCGUGGGAAUUUUCCUCAAGGUACGGAACAACUCAGGGAAACUUGGGCUAAUACCGUAUGAUGUCUAGCGACCAAAGAUUUAUCGCCUUGGGAUAAGCCCGCGUCAGAUUAGGUAGUUGGUGGGGUAACGGCCUACCAAGCCUGCGAUCUGUAGCUGGUCUGAGAGGACGAUCAGCCACAUUGGGACUGAGACACGGCCCAAACUCCUACGGGAGGCAGCAGUGGGGAAUCUUGCGCAAUGGGCGAAAGCCUGACGCAGCCAUGCCGCGUGAAUGAUGAAGGUCUUAGGAUUGUAAAGUUCUUUCGCUCGUGACGAUGAUGACGGUAACGAGAGAAGAAGCCCCCGGCUAACUUCGUG
RNAcentral lists this ribosomal RNA (451 nucleotides) under uncultured Alphaproteobacteria bacterium. RNAcentral's name for it is "bacterial SSU rRNA". It matches the Rfam family "Bacterial small subunit ribosomal RNA", at positions 9 to 507 of the family's 1533-position model. The record is from RNAcentral. Lineage: Bacteria; Pseudomonadati; Pseudomonadota; Alphaproteobacteria.